Molecule: non-coding RNA, 1763 nt
Organism: Cucurbita pepo subsp. pepo (vegetable marrow)
Lineage: Eukaryota; Viridiplantae; Streptophyta; Magnoliopsida; Cucurbitales; Cucurbitaceae
Source: RefSeq, a predicted model, not a curated record
CGCUAAACUGUUCAUAAUUUAUAGAAAUGAGUGAAGUAAAUCGAAUAUCAGGACUUUUGAAAUUGCUGAAUGAAUUGAUGUUGAAAAAAAAAGCAUGGAAUUGGUUCGGGCGUUACCAUAUCUCCGAGAAGAAGUUCUAUCUUCACACGCUUCUAUGUCCAUGAUUUGCUUUAUUAGGGGACUGGGAAGGCUUAGAUUAGAAAUUCAAGCUUCUGUAGUGAAAUCUUGCAUCAUUUGUCCAAGUGCUCUCGCCAUUGGAACCUUUCAGAAAAUGCAAUUAAUGUAUUAAGUUCUGAUGGGGAUUAUCAAGCCCUUGCCGAGGUGUGUUCGUAGUUCUGCGCGUGCUAGUGUUAUUCCCUAUGGUGUCAGAAGGUCGUGGAAGAGCUUAUUCAUAAUACCUUGAAUGCUGAUGGGUGGAAGGAUGGGGAUGGUGUUUGUGAUGUCCUACAUUGGUUGGGGAGGAGAACAAAACACCCUUUAUAAGGGUGUGGAAACCUUCCCCUAGCAUACGUGUUUUAAAGCCUUGAGGGGAAGCCCGUAAGGGAAAGUCCAAAGAGGACAAUAUCUACUAACAGUGGGCCUGAGUUGUUACAGUGUUGAUAGAUGUUAUAAUUGGAUGGGUUAAACAAUGAGUACUUAGCUUUUCCAACGAAAGGAAAUGGUGCAAGAAAGGGCUGAAUCUGCUAUGGCUUUCACGACCAUCUCUUGUAAGUGGUGCAAGGAUGUUUAGAUGAACUAUGUCAAUAAGUUUGGGUGAUAUGCAUAUGGCAUGCUUGAUGUGAUUUUCUUAUCGACAAGUGCUGAAAAGUAGAAUUCUAAGGAAGGAAAUAGACAUCUUAGCAAGCUGGAAAAUACUUAAUGAAUUUGGAUUUACUACCUUGGUGAGUUUAUGCGAGCUCAACCGAACCUAUCCCCUCUUUUUUUGUGAUUCAAGGGAAGUCGUAACAAGGUAUCCAUGGGGGAACCUUGUUCAAUAGCUUUAUGCAGUGACAUUGAAAUUUCAUGAUCUCAUCAAGAUACCCAAGGUGGAACGUUUGGCUUCCGAGGAUAGGCAUUUGCUUCGAUUUCAGAUGUAUCGGUGGUGAUCAUAACCAAAGCAUGUGGGAGGGAAAAUGGAUAUUGUAAAGUCAUGAAGGGUUGCAAAUGCUUGUGUCUUGGAAUUGAUGAUGAUUUGGAAGAUGUUGGUACUACUGGGUUGGAGGAGGAGGAAGUGACCAAUAAUUGACAAGUUUGAGCUGUUAAAUGUGCAAUGCGCCCAUGGACAACCAACGACGGUACCAACUUGUGAACAUGGAGGCAUUGCACAAGCAGCUAAGGGAGUGGGAAGUAUAGGACAAAAAUGGUUCAAAUGGAACGAGGAAUGGUCUGCAGCAACGGGAGAUGAGCACUGAACGAAUUUUGUGUUAGGAAUUACGAACCUCUACAAUAGUAUGAUAUUGUCCACUUUGAGCAUAAGCUCUCUAUGACUUUUCUUUUGGUUUUCUCAAGAAAUCUCGUACCAACGAAGACGUAUUCCUUACUUAUAAACCUAUGAUCAACCCCUUAAUUAGUCAAUGUGGGACUCGUUCUCCCAACAAUCUUCACCAUGUUGUGCUUAAGUUAGGCCGAAGGUUUACAGUAAUAGCAAGGAGGGGAGGAAGUAAUAAAGAAAAAUUUCUCCCCAUUACCAAAAACAGCAGAAACCUUGUUCCUUACCAAGUUAGCCCCCUAUUGAUUUUCUUUUUACUAUGUGUGAGAGGGAAUUACAUUUAAGUUCAAACUUA